GCAGAGGUGACAAUUCGGAAAUAUUUGGAGGGACGCCAGUGGCGAAGGCGGGUCUCUGGUCCAUUGCUUACGCUGAUGUGUGAAAGCGUGGGGAGCCAACAGGAUUAGAUACCCUUGUAGUCCACGCCGUAAACGAUGAAUGUUAGUCAUUGGGCAGUAUACUGUUCGGUGGCGCAGCUAUCGCACUAAACAUUCCGCCUGUGGAGUACGGUCGCAAGAUUACAACUCAAAGGAAUAGACGCGGGAUCGCACAAGCGGUAGAGCAUGUGGUUUAAUUCGAAGCAGCGCGCAGAACCUUACCAGCCCUUGACAUCCUGUGUUACCUCUAGAGAUAGGGGGUGCACUUCGGUGGCGCAGAGACAGGUGCUGCAUGGCUGUCGUCAACUCGUGUCGUGAGAUGUUGGGUUAAGUCCCGCAACGAGUGCACCCCUCGACCUUAGUUGCCAGCAUUUAGUUGGGCACUCUAAGGGGACUGCCGGUGAUAAGCCGAGAGGAAGGUGGGGAUGACGUCAAGUCCUCAUGGCCCUUACGGGCUGGGCUACACACGUGCUACAAUGGUGGUGACAGUGGGCAGCGAGCACGCGAGUGUGAGCUAAUCUCCAAAAGCCAUCUCAGUUCGGAUUGCACUCUGCAACUCGAG
Molecule: ribosomal RNA, 640 nt
Filed under: Martinezella calliandrae
Lineage: Bacteria; Pseudomonadati; Pseudomonadota; Alphaproteobacteria; Hyphomicrobiales; Rhizobiaceae
Description: bacterial SSU rRNA
Rfam family: Bacterial small subunit ribosomal RNA
Source: RNAcentral